CCCAUGGAGCCGAACUUGUUUUUUGAAAUUCCUUGGGCUUAUAGAGAAUCUCAUAAAUCAAGACACAAUGUGGUAGUAUCAACUCUUUCCUAUGAAAUGUAACUUGUUAUUUGAAUGUUCUUGGGCUAAGUCUUGCCUCUAAGGCCAGAGUUAUAGAAUAUCUUAUAAAUCAAAACAUAAUAUGGUAAUGUAAACUCUUGCCCGUGUGCAUAACUUGUUGUUUGAAAGUCCUUGGACUAUGUCUUGCCUCUAAUGACAAAACCUGUAGAGCUUCUCACAAAUCAAGACAUAGUAUGGUAGUGCCAACUCUUUCCAUAGGGCGUAACUUAUUGUUUGAAAAUCCUUGGGCUUAGUCUUGCCUCUAAGACAAGAGUUAUAGAACAUCUCAUAAAUUAAAAUACAAUAUUGUAGUGUCAACUCUUGCCCAUGGGGCUUAACUUUAUCUUUGAAAGCCCUUGGUCUAAGUCUUGCCUCUAAGUCAAAAGUUAUAGAACAUCUCAUAAUCAUGACACAAUGUGGUAGUAUCAACUCUUGCUUAUAGGGAAUAACUUAUUGUUUGAAAUUCAUUGGGCUAAGUAUUGCAUCUAAGGCAGGAGUUAUAGAACAUCUCAUAAAUCAAGACACAACAUGGUAGUAUCAACUCUUACUUGUGCGGCAUAAC
RNAcentral lists this long non-coding RNA (661 nucleotides) under Capsicum annuum. RNAcentral describes it as "long non-coding RNA (CANN_LNC005197)". Lineage: Eukaryota; Viridiplantae; Streptophyta; Magnoliopsida; Solanales; Solanaceae. The record is from RNAcentral.